This 492-nucleotide ribosomal RNA is filed under the name uncultured bacterium. RNAcentral describes it as "partial 16S ribosomal RNA". It matches the Rfam family "Bacterial small subunit ribosomal RNA", at positions 30 to 507 of the family's 1533-position model. The record is from RNAcentral.
AUUGAACGCUGGCGGCAUGCUUUACACAUGCAAGUCGAACGGUAACAGGCCUUCGGGUGCUGACGAGUGACGAACGGGUGAGUAAUGCAUCGGAACGUGCCCAGAGGUGGGGGAUAACGCAGCGAAAGCUGUGCUAAUACCGCAUGUGAUCUGAGGAUGAAAGCGGGGGACCAAGCAGCAAUGUUUGGCCUCGCGCCUCUGGAGCGGCCGAUGUCAGAUUAGGUAGUUGGUGGGGUAAAGGCCUACCAAGCCGACGAUCUGUAGCUGGUCUGAGAGGACGACCAGCCACACUGGGACUGAGACACGGCCCAGACUCCUACGGGAGGCAGCAGUGGGGAAUUUUGGACAAUGGGCGCAAGCCUGAUCCAGCAAUGCCGCGUGCGGGAAGAAGGCCUUCGGGUUGUAAACCGCUUUUGUACGGAACGAAAAGGCUCUGGCUAAUACCUGGGGCUGAUGACGGUACCAUAAGAAUAAGCACCGGCUAACUACGUG